AUCCAAAUGCAUUAUUAUAUAUCCUGUCUUGAAACAGAAGAUUUCAUUUCCUUGCCGCUAUUUGGUGAGUCUUGUGCUGGAAAAGGGCCUAUCACCUACCUUCCUCUGGACCAGCUUUUGCAGAUGAAUUACUCUCUACCAUGGUCUUAGAAGGAGCAGUCAAGAAUGCCUCCCUUCCUUACCAUGCUGGCCUGGGCUGUUCAUGCCAGACUGCUUGCUCUGCUCUGUGAUCUGCAGAGGACUUUCAAGCACAACCUGGAGACAGAGAGCGGGCAGGGGGCCACAGAGCUCAGCUGCAGCUGAGAAGGGGUUUUCCCUCCUGGUCCUCUGCCAGUGCCAAGGAAGCCAAGAGAAGAUGAGACCAUGCUUCUGCAAAUGCAAAUAAAGAGACCUGCAGGGCUCAGGGCAUUCAGCACUGAGUGGAAGUGUGCAGCCAGCAUUUCCCAGCCUUCUGAAGUCCUCCAUAGGAAACCUCCAGUCUUCCUCCAUGCGCUGGAGAUAGAUGCUGCUAAUUCAGUUUGGUGAGAACGACCAAUACAACUGCUCCCACUUGCUCCGGUGUCACAUCAAUCUAUAAGAAGCCAAAAGGAUGUCUGCAACCAGCAAGCCAGAAAGAAAGCUGUAUUGUUUUUCACAAUGAAUGGCAUUAACUCCUUUUCUUCCAUACAAAUAUACUCUGAAUACUUUGCUUGUUGCCUAAAUUCUUGAUCAUAGAAUCACCGAAUCAUUUGAAAUGGAAAGGACCCUUACAGGUCAUCGAGUCCAGCUCCCCUGCAAUGAACAGCAUUCAUCUGCAGUGAAUAGGGAUGUUGAUGUCGAAGAGUGGAACAGCUGAAAACUUUCUAAAUGUCUAUUCACUUUGUCUGUAGAUCUUUUAACCUUAAAUAAUUACAUAGGUCAUAUUACGUAAAUAGUAUAAGAUAAUAUUAGAAAUAAAUUAAGAUCACAGUAUAGAUAGCAUAGCAGAAUACAAAUGCAAAUUACAGAUUUCUCCAUUAUUGAAAUAUACCAAGUAAGAUGAUCAGAAAACAUUUAAGAUUCAGAAGUUGAAAUAAGCAAUAAUAAGUUGAACAAUCAAUCUGAUCAAACACAAUCAAAAGCUAUACGCUCUGUGAUCUCAGGUAGAAGAAUUUUGUAUUAGAAAUUAGAAAUAAAUACAUCUGCUUUAUGGAGAUAAAGGUAAUACAGCAUUAGAUUUUUCUGUAUACAGGGAAUAUAAAUUUUUAUCUUUGGUGAACUAAUAAAAGAAGAGUUGAACUCAUUGCUACUGUUUAAUUUUGCUUCUGUACAUAAGGGACCUUCAGCAGUUACCCAGAGAGAACCGUGAGGUGGAUUGAGAACUGUUUGGCUGGUAGAGCUCAGAGGGUUGUCAUCAGUGUGGCAGUCUGGCUGGAGGCCUGUAACUAGUGGUCUUCCUCAGGGGUUGGUAUGGGAUCUGGUCUUGUUCAACGUCUUCAUCUUCAUUCAUGACCUGAAUGAAGGGAGAGAGUCCACCCUCAGCAAGUUUGCUGAUGAUACAAAGCUGGGAAUAGCGACUGACAUGGGGACCUUAUCAAUGCUAAUAAAUAUCUAAAGGGUAGGACUCAAGUGGAUUGGUCCGAGUUCUUUUCAGUGGUACCCAGCAACACUACAAGGGGCAAUGGGCACAAACUGGAACACAGGAGGUUCCAUACAAACACAAGGAAAAAGUUCUUUAUUGUGCAGGUUACAGCACUGGAACAGGCUGCCAAGAGAGGCUGUGAAGUCUUCUCUGAGGUAUUCAAGACCCAGCUGGAUGUUUUCCUGGGCAACCUACUGUAGGGAACCUGCUUGGACUAGAGGAUCUCCAGAGGUCCCAUACAACCCCUACAAUUCUGUGAUUCUGUGAAAACAGAGAUCUUUGCAUUUUGUGAGCCAAAAAAAGGAACUGAAGACCACAAUUGCUCAUCAGAGGAACCACAUACAUGCCAGAUGUGCUUUUACCCCACUGUGAUUGUGAACUAAAAUGUUUGUUUAAAGACUAUAUUUUUAUAGAUAUUAUUGUGCUCAGAGGCAAAUGUAGCCAUGGUAAAUGUACAUUCCCAGCAUAACCCUCUCCAUGAGGGGCCAGGUAAAAAUUCAUAGAUGCAUUUAAAUGGGUUGUAUUGGGAUCACUCAGUCGUCAUCAGAGAAAGAUGAAGGAAUCUCCAAGGACACUUCUUUCCCUACCUUUCAGGAUGGAAUUAAACAACUUUCUGACAUAUCUAUUUCCCUAUAGGGAGCAUGUAGCUGUGGAUGUCAGACAUACACCACUUAGUCAGCUGAAGUAGAAAGAAUUCCACCCUAAAACAUUAAAGCAAUGAAUCCCUUUUUCUAUAAAUUACAACAAAGUAAAAUUAUGUCUAGCCUCUGUCUUUGUUAAGAGCUUGACAUACAGCAGCACUUAGGAAACUGAUUAUACUGACAGGCUAAUCAAGCAGAGUUUGUUAACUAAAUUUAUGGUAACUAUAUCACAUCUCAAGUAUUACAAAUAUGAAAAAGAGUGUGCCUUAAUCUUCUAUGUAAACAUAGUUUUCUUUUGGGCUCUUCUGAUGCCCUAAUGUUUAUAGAACCAUGUAAUAAAUCAGGACUUAUUUAUCAUAACGAACAGUAGUUCACACAGUGGUUAAAAUCGCUGUUUUCAUUAACUAUGUCAAAGAUCAAAAUAUUAUAAAGGAAGCAUUCAGAUGCAAUGACAAGAGGCGCAGUAUAUGAUCUGAAAUGAACAUGUGUUGUCAUGCA
Long non-coding RNA from Gallus gallus (chicken), 2739 nucleotides. RefSeq lists it as uncharacterized. Lineage: Eukaryota; Metazoa; Chordata; Aves; Galliformes; Phasianidae. The record is from RefSeq and is a predicted model, not a curated record. The transcript has 3 exons.